This 253-nucleotide ribosomal RNA is filed under the name uncultured bacterium. RNAcentral describes it as "partial 16S ribosomal RNA". It matches the Rfam family "Bacterial small subunit ribosomal RNA", at positions 524 to 776 of the family's 1533-position model. The record is from RNAcentral.
GACAGAGGGUGCAACCGUUGUUCGGAAUUACUGGGCGUAAAGCGCGUGUAGGCGGUCUCGCAAGUCGGAUGUGAAAGCCCUGGGCUUAACCCAGGAAGUGCAUUCGAAACUUCCGAGCUCGAGUCCUGGAGAGGGUGGCGGAAUUCUCGGUGUAGAGGUGAAAUUCGUAGAUAUCGAGAGGAACACCGGUGGCGAAGGCGGCUACCUGGACAGUGACUGACGCUGAGACGCGAAAGCGUGGGGAGCAAACAGG